Molecule: unclassified non-coding RNA, 144 nt
Filed under: soil metagenome
Description: partial internal transcribed spacer 1
Source: RNAcentral
UAAUAAGUGUUUUAUGGCACUUUUUAAAUCCAUAUCCACCUUGUGUGCAAUGUCAGUCGAUCUUCUUCAUGGAGAUCGACCAAACAUCAACCUUUAUCUUUUAACUCUUUGUCUUAAAAUAUUAUGAAUAAACAAUUCAAAAUA